UGAUAGAAUUUCAUGUAAUUCUCAUAAGCCAUUAGCUCAUCCGACAGCUUCUGCACUUCGCUCUCUUGAUGCUGAGAUUUCACGUCCACUAUCACCACCUCCCCACUGUUCACCUUCUCCACCGCCAUUUUCUGCUCCUCCCUUUUCACUUCCACUUCACCUAUGUAACAGUUGUUGCUUCCUUUCUGAUUGCAGCCCACUAGCCCAAUUACAGAGUAGGCUUCCUCCUCCGAACCAGACCCAGAAUUCUCCUCGCCAGAAACGAAAAUAGGUGCGGUAUUUAUACCAUUUGAAGCAUAGGAUCCAAUAUGGUUUAAAUCACAACCGAACCCAAAAUCAUAACUUUUGGGAGGAUUGCUGAAAUUACAAGUGAGGGGUUGGUACAGAGGGGGACUGGGAUUCCUCUGAUGUGGACGGUUAAGGUGGUGUUGGGAAGUGGUGUCGUCUUCAUUGGGGAAAUUGACUUUGGCUUUACUCCCGCGAAUUUUACGAGCCUCUCUAUCGUAGGCACGAGCAGCUUCUUCAGCGGUGUUGAAGGUGCCAAGCCAAACGCGGACUCCUUUCCUUGGGUCGCGAAUCUCCGCAGCCCAUUUGCCCCACGGACGUUGCCUGAUACCUCUAUACAAGUUCUUCCUCUGCCUCUUGGCAGGGAUCUUAUCCACACGAUCAUCAUCUGAAGCGGGUUGGGAUCUUUUGUGAGUGAAUGAUUCGUGGUUGCCGAAUGAGUUCGGAUAGGACUCGAAGGGGCUGAGUUUAGAGAAGGAUGAGUUUGGCCAAAUGACAGAAGCGGCGAUGUAGCGGCCACGGUUGCGAGGGAUUAAGUCAGCUAUAAUAGCUCCACCACACAUCUUUAGCUAAGAGAAGUAUGCGAAAGCUUUUAAAAAUAUCUUGGAUUUUCAGUGGAUCAGGGAAUAUGGAGAAGGUAUCGGUGGAAAUGGAGAUUGGAGAAAACCUUGAAAGGGUUUAAG
This 968-nucleotide unclassified non-coding RNA is filed under the name Hevea brasiliensis (rubber tree). Lineage: Eukaryota; Viridiplantae; Streptophyta; Magnoliopsida; Malpighiales; Euphorbiaceae. The record is from RNAcentral.